Molecule: long non-coding RNA, 660 nt
Organism: Paramisgurnus dabryanus
Lineage: Eukaryota; Metazoa; Chordata; Actinopteri; Cypriniformes; Cobitidae
Source: RefSeq, a predicted model, not a curated record
AGCUCCAAAAGACAAGCCAACUUCCAUUACUGCGGCAGUGUCAGGAGGAGUUGUGUUUCUGGUGCUGAUACUCUUGCUUUGGGCGUGUAUCAAAAGAAAAAGUCUUUCAUCUGCUCUUUCCAAUAAAAAGGAAAAUAUAUAUGAGACUGUAGAUGACAGUUGUUCUACCGUACAUCCUGCUCCCCCACAAAAAACCAAUGAUGCCAUAUAUUACUUGGCUGGAGAUCCUGAUGUAGUAAAAAUCGGCCAAAGACAGGAGUUUGAUGAUCCCACAUAUACCCUGAUAGGCUUAUCAGAGUCAAAGUCAAAGGAAAAUCUCAAUGAGCAGGGACCUGAUGUGCCUUUGUACUCUACAAUCAAAGAAUUCAGUGAAUAAUGAAACACUUGAACUUAUAUUAAAAAAAUCCAUAAACGUUAAGUGAUAAAGUGAAUGUUAUAUUUCAGUGGCAAAACUCUUUAAAAUAAUAUUAUUUAACAUGCUAUUUUUAUGUGUCAAGCUGUGAUAUAUGUUUGUUUGUUGUUUAUAGUUUUUAUAUUUUAGGUUUAUAUUUAGAAAUAUACAAAUGCUGUACGAGACAUACUGUAAUGCUAUUACAAUCCCUUCUCCCUUUCCUGGAUGGUAUUUCUUUAUACUGAAUAAAUAAAUUGUUUUUCCAAGCA